This 439-nucleotide ribosomal RNA is filed under the name uncultured bacterium. Its description in RNAcentral is "bacterial SSU rRNA". It matches the Rfam family "Bacterial small subunit ribosomal RNA", at positions 954 to 1392 of the family's 1533-position model. The record is from RNAcentral.
GCAAAACGCGAAGAACCUUACCCAGAUUUGAAAUACAGAGUGAUUGUGCAGAAAUGCAUAAGCCCGCAAGGGACUCUGAACAGGUGCUGCAUGGCUGUCGUCAGCUCGUGCCGUGAGGUGUUGGGUUAAGUCCCGCAACGAGCGCAACCCUUAUCAUUAGUUGCCAACACGUAAAGGUGGGGAAUCUAGUGAGACUGCCUAGGUUAACUAGGAGGAAGGUGAGGAUGACGUCAAGUCCGCAUGGCCUUUAUAUCUGGGGCUACACACGUGCUACAAUGGUCGGUACAGAAGGCAGCAAGACCGCAAGGUGGAGCAAAUCCCAAAAGCCGACCCCCAGUUCAGAUUGUAGUCUGCAACUCGACUACAUGAAGCCGGAAUUGCUAGUAAUGACAGGUCAGCAAUACUGUCGUGAAUACGUUCCCGGGUCUUGUACACACCG